UAGGGAAUCUUCGGCAAUGGACGAAAGUCUGACCGAGCAACGCCGCGUGAUUGAAGAAGGUUUUCGGAUCGUAAAACUCUGUUGUUAGAGAAGAACAAGGACGUUAGUAACUGAACGUCCCCUGACGGUAUCUAACCAGAAAGCCACGGCUAACUCCGUGCCAGCAGCCGCUGUAAUACGGAGGGUGCAAGCGUUAAUCGGAAUUACUGGGCGUAAAGCGCACGCAGGCGGUCUGUCAAGUCGGAUGUGAAAUCCCCGGGCUCAACCUGGGAACUGCAUUCGAAACUGGCAGGCUAGAGUCUUGUAGAGGGGGGUAGAAUUCCAGGUGUAGCGGUGAAAUGCGUAGAGAUCUGGAGGAAUACCGGUGGCGAAGGCGGCCCCCUGGACAAAGACUGACGCUAAGGUGCGAAAGCGUGGGGAGCAAACAGG
RNAcentral lists this ribosomal RNA (429 nucleotides) under Chloroflexota bacterium. Its description in RNAcentral is "Chloroflexi bacterium partial 16S ribosomal RNA". It matches the Rfam family "Bacterial small subunit ribosomal RNA", at positions 355 to 776 of the family's 1533-position model. Lineage: Bacteria; Bacillati; Chloroflexota. The record is from RNAcentral.